Molecule: transfer RNA, 59 nt
Filed under: Oscillatoria sp. CCAP 1459/26
Lineage: Bacteria; Bacillati; Cyanobacteriota; Cyanophyceae; Oscillatoriales; Oscillatoriaceae
Description: tRNA-Ile
Rfam family: tRNA
About the family: Transfer RNA (tRNA) molecules are approximately 80 nucleotides in length. Their secondary structure includes four short double-helical elements and three loops (D, anti-codon, and T loops). Further hydrogen bonds mediate the characteristic L-shaped molecular structure. tRNAs have two regions of fundamental functional importance: the anti-codon, which is responsible for specific mRNA codon recognition, and the 3' end, to which the tRNAs corresponding amino acid is attached (by aminoacyl-tRNA synthetases). tRNAs cope with the degeneracy of the genetic code in two manners: having more than one tRNA (with a specific anti-codon) for a particular amino acid; and 'wobble' base-pairing, i.e. permitting non-standard base-pairing at the 3rd anti-codon position.
Source: RNAcentral
GUGGUUAGAGCGCACCCCUGAUAAGGGUGAGGUCCCUGGUUCGAGUCCAGGAUGGCCCA